Molecule: non-coding RNA, 30 nt
Filed under: Rattus norvegicus (Norway rat)
Lineage: Eukaryota; Metazoa; Chordata; Mammalia; Rodentia; Muridae
Source: RNAcentral
GUCCCAACUUCUUCACUGUCGCAGGACCUA